This 406-nucleotide ribosomal RNA is filed under the name uncultured bacterium. RNAcentral describes it as "partial 16S ribosomal RNA". It matches the Rfam family "Bacterial small subunit ribosomal RNA", at positions 30 to 526 of the family's 1533-position model. The record is from RNAcentral.
AUUGAACGCUGGCGGCAGGCCUAACACAUGCAAGUCGAACGAGUGGCGGACGGGUGAGUAAUGUCUGGGAACCUGCCUGAUGGAGGGGGAUAACUACUGGAAACGGUAGCUAAUACCGCAUACCAUCAGAUGUGCCCAGAUGUGAUUAGCUUGUUGGUGGGGUAACGGCUCACCAAGGCGACGAUCCCUAGCUGGUCUGAGGGGAUGACGAGCCACACUGGAACUGAGGCACGGGCCAGACUCCGACGGGUGGAAGCAGUGGGGAAUAUUGCACAAUGGGCGCAAGCCUGAUGCAGCCAUGCCGCGUGUAUGAAGAGGGCCUUCGGGUUGUAAAGUCCUUUCAGCGGGGAGGCGUUACCCGCAGAAGAAGCGCCGGCUAACUCCGUGCCAGCAGCCGCGGUAAUUC